RNAcentral lists this ribosomal RNA (420 nucleotides) under uncultured Sphingobacteriales bacterium. RNAcentral's name for it is "bacterial SSU rRNA". It matches the Rfam family "Bacterial small subunit ribosomal RNA", at positions 551 to 973 of the family's 1533-position model. Lineage: Bacteria; Pseudomonadati; Bacteroidota; Sphingobacteriia; Sphingobacteriales. The record is from RNAcentral.
UCACUGGGUUUAAAGGGUGCGUAGGUGGUUUUUUAAGUCAGGGGUGAAAGACGGCAGCUUAACUGUCGCAGUGCCUUUGAUACUGAAGAACUUGAAUUAACUAGAGGUAGGCGGAAUGUGACAAGUAACGGUGAAAUGCAUAGAUAUGUCACAGAACACCAAUUGCGAAGGCAGCUUACUAUGGUUAUAUUGACACUGAGGCACGAAAGCGUGGGGAUCAAACAGGAUUAGAUACCCUGGUAGUCCACGCCCUAAACGAUGAAUACUCGAUGUUGGCGAUAUACGGUCAGCGUCUAAGCGAAAGCGUUAAGUAUUCCACCUGGGGAGUACGCCCGCAAGGGUGAAACUCAAAGGAAUUGACGGGGGCCCGCACAAGCGGAGGAGCAUGUGGUUUAAUUCGAUGCUACGCGAGGAACCUUA